RNAcentral lists this ribosomal RNA (253 nucleotides) under uncultured bacterium. RNAcentral's name for it is "partial 16S ribosomal RNA". It matches the Rfam family "Bacterial small subunit ribosomal RNA", at positions 524 to 776 of the family's 1533-position model. The record is from RNAcentral.
UACAGAGGUCCCAAGCGUUGUUCGGAUUCAUUGGGCGUAAAGGGUGCGUAGGCGGCGCGGUAAGUCGGGUGUGAAAUCUCGGGGCUUAACUCCGAAACUGCAUUCGAUACUGCCGUGCUUGAGGACUGGAGAGGAGACUGGAAUUUACGGUGUAGCGGUGAAAUGCGUAGAUAUCAGGAGGAACACCUGCGGCGAAGGCGGGUUGCUGGGCCGACACUGACGCUGAGGCGCGAAAGCGUGGGGAGCGAACAGG